GUGGGGAAUCUUGCGCAAUGGGCGAAAGCCUGACGCAGCCAUGCCGCGUGAAUGAUGAAGGUCUUAGGAUUGUAAAAUUCUUUCACCGGGGAUGAUAAUGACGGUACCCGGAGAAGAAGCCCCGGCUAACUUCGUGCCAGCAGCCGCGGUAAUACGAAGGGGGCUAGCGUUGCUCGGAAUUACUGGGCGUAAAGGGCGCGUAGGCGGACAGUUUAGUCAGAGGUGAAAGCCCAGGGCUCAACCUUGGAAUUGCCUUUGAUACUGGCUGUCUUGAGUUUGGGAGAGGUGAGUGGAACUCCGAGUGUAGAGGUGAAAUUCGUAGAUAUUCGGAAGAACACCAGUGGCGAAGGCGACUCACUGGCCCAAUACUGACGCUGAGGCGCGAAAGCGUGGGGAGCAAACAGGAUUAGAAACCCUGGUAGUCC
Molecule: ribosomal RNA, 425 nt
Filed under: uncultured bacterium
Lineage: Bacteria
Description: partial 16S ribosomal RNA
Rfam family: Bacterial small subunit ribosomal RNA
Source: RNAcentral